Grammomys surdaster is the source of this 428-nucleotide long non-coding RNA. RefSeq lists it as uncharacterized. NCBI's taxonomy places the organism in Eukaryota, Metazoa, Chordata, Mammalia, Rodentia, Muridae. The transcript has 3 exons. The record is from RefSeq and is a predicted model, not a curated record.
GGAGGCCCUGCCUGGGCUCAUCUGGGACCUGGGCCAGCAGCUGGGAGACCUGAGUCUGGAGUCUGGUGGCCUGGACCAGGAGAGUGGGCGCAGCUCAGGCUUCUAUGAAGACCCCAGUUCUACAGGAGGCCCAGAUUCACCACCCUCCACCUUCUGCGGGGACAGUGGCUUCUCCGGAUCUGGCUCCUAUGGACGCCUGGGUCCCUCGGACCCCCGGGGCAUCUAUGCCAGCGAGAGACCCAAGUCCUUAGGCGACGCCAGUCCCAGCGCUCCCGAGUCGGUGGGUGCCCGGGUUGCAGUGCCUCGAUCUUUCUCAGCUCCCUAUCCGACGGCAGCCGGAGCUGAAACCUGCUCGUCCGCGGAACGGCGGGCUCGUGCCGGGCCCUUCCUGACACCCAGCCCGCUGCACGCGGUGGCUCUGCGCAGCC